This 253-nucleotide ribosomal RNA is filed under the name uncultured bacterium. Its description in RNAcentral is "partial 16S ribosomal RNA". It matches the Rfam family "Bacterial small subunit ribosomal RNA", at positions 524 to 776 of the family's 1533-position model. The record is from RNAcentral.
UACGUAGGGUGCAAGCGUUGUCCGGAAUUAUUGGGCGUAAAGAGCUUGUAGGCGGUUUGUCGCGUCUGCUGUGAAAUUUCGGGGCUCAACCCCGAACUUGCAGUGGGUACGGGCAGACUAGAGUGUGGUAGGGGAGACUGGAAUUCCUGGUGUAGCGGUGAAAUGCGCAGAUAUCAGGAGGAACACCGAUGGCGAAGGCGGCCGACUGGACACAUAUUGACGCUGAGGCUCGAAAGCAUGGGGAGCAAACAGG